CUUUCUGACUUUCUCUCUCUCCCCGCGCCGCCCCGAGAAAAUCGUCUCCCUCGGGUGAGGAGGAGGCGGCGAGGGUUUGGGCCUCCUGGUCCGACCUCGACGGCGCCGACGAGCUCGCGCCCAAGAUUCCUUUCCUCAACGGCGCAGGUCGUAAAUUUUGUGCUCAGCCAAGCAACAAGGCACAAGGUGGUUAUAUCCAUACUGUCAUUGUGCUUGUGCAGAAAAAAAAGGAAGUCCGUACGUGUAGGGAAUCAUUGAUAUCUGCAACGGGUACAAAAAGGGUCAUGCAUGGGUGAGCUAGACAAACAACGUGGAUCCCUAUUUCUGUUGAGGUCACCAACCAAUUCUUAAGUUUUGAACCAUGGGAAGGCCUUCAUGCAUGAGCUGCUGUAAGUAGAUGACGACUUUUGUUGAAAAGCUUGGUUCAUGUAGAGCUCGUAGUUAGCUCUGUAGGCCAUACCCUUUUGUUGGUGAUCUUAGCUCAUGGACCUGGAAAAGGCCUCAGAAUAGGCUAUGUGAGCAAGCCAUGUAUGCAUGCCCUGAUAUAUGAACUUGUUGCUUUGGACGUUUUUGUGUGAGAGUGCAUGCAUGUAUGCCUCCUGCUAUUUAUAACAUUCUUUGAAUUUUACUACUGUACUUUGUAGCAGAACAUUCAGUAACCAGCUGUAUCUGUAACAAUUGGCCAAGACAAGACUAUAUAUACGUCCUACUCCCUACCCAUUUGGACCUGUCCC
Triticum aestivum (bread wheat) is the source of this 734-nucleotide long non-coding RNA. RefSeq lists it as uncharacterized. Lineage: Eukaryota; Viridiplantae; Streptophyta; Magnoliopsida; Poales; Poaceae. The transcript is spliced from 4 exons. The record is from RefSeq and is a predicted model, not a curated record.